RNAcentral lists this ribosomal RNA (433 nucleotides) under uncultured bacterium. Its description in RNAcentral is "partial 16S ribosomal RNA". It matches the Rfam family "Bacterial small subunit ribosomal RNA", at positions 29 to 507 of the family's 1533-position model. The record is from RNAcentral.
AACGAACGCUGGCGGCAUGCCUAACACAUGCAAGUCGAACGAGCCCUUCGGGUCUAGUGGCGCACGGGUGCGUAACGCGUGGGAAUCUGCCCUUCUGUUGGGAAUAAUUGAGAGAAAUUUCAGCUAAUACCUUAUAAUCUCUUCGGACCAAAGAUUUAUCGCCGAGGGAUGAGCCCGCGUAGGAUUAGGUAGUUGGUGGGGUAAUGGCCUACCAAGCCGACGAUCCUUAGCUGGUCUGAGAGGAUGAUCAGCCACACUGGGACUGAGACACGGCCCAGACUCCUACGGGAGGCAGCAGUGGGGAAUAUUGGACAAUGGGCGCAAGCCUGAUCCAGCCAUGCCGCGUGAGUGAUGAAGGCCUUAGGGUUGUAAAGCUCUUUUACCCGGGAUGAUAAUGACAGUACCGGGAGAAUAAGCUCCGGCUAACUCCGUG